This 77-nucleotide transfer RNA is filed under the name Pseudomonadota bacterium. RNAcentral describes it as "tRNA-Ile". It matches the Rfam family "tRNA". Rfam says of the family: Transfer RNA (tRNA) molecules are approximately 80 nucleotides in length. Their secondary structure includes four short double-helical elements and three loops (D, anti-codon, and T loops). Further hydrogen bonds mediate the characteristic L-shaped molecular structure. tRNAs have two regions of fundamental functional importance: the anti-codon, which is responsible for specific mRNA codon recognition, and the 3' end, to which the tRNAs corresponding amino acid is attached (by aminoacyl-tRNA synthetases). tRNAs cope with the degeneracy of the genetic code in two manners: having more than one tRNA (with a specific anti-codon) for a particular amino acid; and 'wobble' base-pairing, i.e. permitting non-standard base-pairing at the 3rd anti-codon position. Lineage: Bacteria; Pseudomonadati; Pseudomonadota. The record is from RNAcentral. RNAcentral also lists the same sequence under 5 other names.
GGGCUCAUAGCUCAGUUGGUUAGAGCGCGCCCCUGAUAAGGGCGAGGUCGGUAGUUCGAAUCUACCUGGGCCCACCA